CACACAUAGCCAAGGUAGGAGCCCGGAAAAGAUUGUUUGAGACCGAGGGCAUCCAGCCCGUGCAGAGGCCCUGAAAGGGAGAAGCGGCGGCGAGAGACCUCCGCGGAGCACCCGUCCUCUCCCACAGGCCCCCCCAGGGCCAGUGCACAGCGCUGACCCUGCGUGCUGGGAUCGAAUCGACUGAAAAUCUGUGUGAUGCUGAGCUUUCUUCCACACUUCAGCCACAGCAGCAGAGGCGAAGCAGAUGAGAGAACCCAGCAUGGAGAUCUGUUCCAGAGAGGUUUGCAAAGGAGAAAGCAAGACAUUAAGGACAUUUACAAAAAUGAAAAGUAGUGCUUCUCUUUUCACUAAAUGUUUUGCUGCUUUGGAAAAUAAUUUUUAAAAUAAUCUAUAUGUCAAUACUUGAAAGAUUUAUUACUCUUAUCUUUAAGCUCAUAAAUCAAUAUAUUAAAAAUUUCUCUGUUUUGUCUCUAAUACAGUAAAAAUGGAUGGAUGACAUACCAUGCAAACAAAGCUCCUUGGAGUCUUCAAUAACUUGAGUAUAAAGGGGUCCAGGACUAAAAUAUUUCAGAACUUGUGCUUAGAAGAAAUGAAAACAUUCAGUGGUCAACAUAGCUCAUUGCUCUAGACUUUAAUUUUGAAGUUGGUUGGGUUGGUUUAUAACAUUGGGUGACAACAAAGAUUUUCCUUAAUAUGUUCAUCUAACAAAAGUCUUAAAUUUACUUUUGAUUGAAGACAUGUUUUAGUCAAAGACUGAACCGUAGAACACCAUCGAAGCCAGGAAAAUGGUAAAUAGGCAAGGUAAGUCAUUUGCCUAAGAAGCAGCCCUGGGGACAGUGCUGUGGUAUAGCAGGUUAAGCCACUGUCUGCAGCGUCGGCAUUCCAUAUGGACACCGGUUCGAGUUCCAGCUGCUCCACUUCUGAUCCAGCUCCCUGCUAAUGUACCUGGGCCCCUGCACCCACGGGGGAGACCUGGAAGAAGCUGCUGGCUCUUGG
Long non-coding RNA from Lepus europaeus (European hare), 996 nucleotides. RefSeq lists it as uncharacterized. The transcript has 3 exons. Lineage: Eukaryota; Metazoa; Chordata; Mammalia; Lagomorpha; Leporidae. The record is from RefSeq and is a predicted model, not a curated record.